Molecule: long non-coding RNA, 140 nt
Organism: Sander lucioperca (pikeperch)
Lineage: Eukaryota; Metazoa; Chordata; Actinopteri; Perciformes; Percidae
Exons: 3
Source: RefSeq, a predicted model, not a curated record
AUCCAGACAGCUAGCUAGACUAUCUGUCCAAUCUGAGUUUUCUGUUGCACGACUAAAACAACUAAAACUUUGAAUGUACACAUUUUCCACCAAAACAAGUUCCUUACCGAGGCUAUUUUGCAGAGGCACCCAUGCUCCGU